GAGGGUAUAGCUCAAAGUGGUAGAGCGCACGCUUAGCGUGCAUGAGGUCCUGGGUUCAAUCCCCAGCACCUCCU
This 74-nucleotide transfer RNA is filed under the name Camelus bactrianus (Bactrian camel). It matches the Rfam family "tRNA". Rfam says of the family: Transfer RNA (tRNA) molecules are approximately 80 nucleotides in length. Their secondary structure includes four short double-helical elements and three loops (D, anti-codon, and T loops). Further hydrogen bonds mediate the characteristic L-shaped molecular structure. tRNAs have two regions of fundamental functional importance: the anti-codon, which is responsible for specific mRNA codon recognition, and the 3' end, to which the tRNAs corresponding amino acid is attached (by aminoacyl-tRNA synthetases). tRNAs cope with the degeneracy of the genetic code in two manners: having more than one tRNA (with a specific anti-codon) for a particular amino acid; and 'wobble' base-pairing, i.e. permitting non-standard base-pairing at the 3rd anti-codon position. RNAcentral also lists the same sequence under 2 other names. Lineage: Eukaryota; Metazoa; Chordata; Mammalia; Artiodactyla; Camelidae. The record is from Rfam by way of RNAcentral.